Molecule: long non-coding RNA, 1095 nt
Organism: Galeopterus variegatus (Sunda flying lemur)
Lineage: Eukaryota; Metazoa; Chordata; Mammalia; Dermoptera; Cynocephalidae
Exons: 2
Source: RefSeq, a predicted model, not a curated record
AAAGGUUUCUUUUGACCACAAACAGAAAUAGAUUACCAGCUAUGCAUGUCUAUUGUGUCAGUAUCCUUAGUGUUUUUGAUUCAUAUGUUUUAUUAAACUCAUGUUUUUCUAUGGCUAGUUAAUCGAAACAGUAUGAUUACUUCUAGCUCAUAUUGGCUAAAGUAAAAGUUCAUUUUUCUCUUACUUUUCUUCGACUGGCUAUUUUAGGGAAGGAUAUUUUCCUAAGUCUCAAAGCAAUUUUCUUUAAAAAUAUAUGUAAGUGAAUAAUUUAUUUGACAGCUGAGGUUUCAGAAAAAUUUUAAAAUAUUGUAUGAUUGUGUAUUUUCUGAAAUUUUACUUUUUUAUAAUCAUUGUCCUAUAUACAGACACACAUAUUUAUGUAGGACUUCUAAACUAUGCUAUAAGAAUACACAUGAAGUUUGAGUACUUGUAUUUCAAAUAAUAGGAGAGGAAAGGGAAACAUUUCUUGAACACAUUUGUGGCAGUGGCAUAUUUAUGAAAAGUAGCUUACUAGCAAAAAGACCUGAAAAAUGUGACUUACAGCUGUCACAUUGUAACUGAACAAUGGCAAGUAGAAAAUUGGAUUUGGUAGUUUGUGUAACAUUUGAAAAUCUUUUUUCUAUUAGACCAUACUAUGAGAUACUGCCCAGUUUAUUAAUAAAUAACCUGAAACUUCUCCAGAAAUAUUCAUUGAUCCAGGUCUACUAGCUGUAGUACCUAGAGCUAGGGUGUAUCACUGGAAUCCAUGGUUUGUCUUCUUUUACUGACUUUGAAUUUGGAAGAUAAGUAAAAGAUGGAACUGAAGAGAAAAAAGGGUUUACUGACUUUAAAAAAACAUUGAUGACACUUAGUAUACUGGCAUAGAGACAGCUUAGUGAUACAACUUUCUGAAAGAAGUUAUUUUGUAGACAUGAAAAGACUUAUAUUGUAUUUUUUCCCCCUUGCCCGUGUGCUGCAAUACAGGAAGCUCCGAUUCUGUGGUUCCUGAUCUUCCAGUUCCAACCCUCAGUGCCCCAAGCCGCUGGGUGUGGGACCAAGAGGAGGAGCGAAAGCGGCAGGAGAGGUGGCAGAAGGAGCAGGACCGUCUGCUGCAGG